UACGAAGGGGGCUAGCGUUGUUCGGAAUUACUGGGCGUAAAGCGCACGUAGGCGGAUAUUUAAGUCAGGGGUGAAAUCCCAGAGCUCAACUCUGGAACUGCCUUUGAUACUGGGUAUCUGGGGUAUGGAAGAGGUGAGUGGAAUUCCGAGUGUAGAGGUGAAAUUCGUAGAUAUUCGGAGGAACACCAGUGGCGAAGGCGGCUCACUGGUCCAUUACUGACGCUGAGGUGCGAAAGCGUGGGGAGCAAACAGG
Molecule: ribosomal RNA, 253 nt
Filed under: uncultured bacterium
Lineage: Bacteria
Description: partial 16S ribosomal RNA
Rfam family: Bacterial small subunit ribosomal RNA
Source: RNAcentral